GACGUAGGGCGCGAGCGUUGUCCGGAUUUAUUGGGCGUAAAGAGCUCGUAGGCGGCUUGUCGCGUCGUCCGUGAAAACCCACAGCUCAACUGUGGGCUUGCGGUCGAUACGGGCAGGCUAGAGUUCGGUAGGGGAGACUGGAAUUCCUGGUGUAGCGGUGAAAUGCGCAGAUAUCAGGAGGAACACCCGUGGCGAAAGCGGCUCUCUGGAACGGUACUGACGCUGAGACGCGAAAGCGUGGGGAGCGAACAGG
RNAcentral lists this ribosomal RNA (253 nucleotides) under uncultured bacterium. Its description in RNAcentral is "partial 16S ribosomal RNA". It matches the Rfam family "Bacterial small subunit ribosomal RNA", at positions 524 to 776 of the family's 1533-position model. The record is from RNAcentral.